CGGGUACCUGUACCCCACGUAGUCGCCGGUUACCGAUCGGACUAAGUUCCAGAAACGAGAUAAAGUAAUAAUAGGUACUGUGGGGAAAAAACACAGAAGAACAAUUCUGUAAUAUAGUGGUGAUUUACAAGUGAAGUUAAAAUGUCCCCAGAAGUGGCCUUGAACCGAAUAUCUCCAAUGCUCUCCCCUUUCAUAUAUAGUGUGGUCCGGAAUGGAAAAGUGGGACUGGAUGCUACAAACUGUUUGAGGAUAACUGACUUGAAAUCUGGCUGCACAUCAUUGACUCCUGGGCCCAACUGUGACCGAUUUAAACUGCACAUACCAUAUGCUGGAGAGACAUUAAAAUGGGAUAUCAUUUUCAAUGCCCAAUACCCAGAACUGCCUCCCGAUUUUAUCUUUGGGGAAGAUGCUGAAUUCCUGCCAGACCCCUCAGCUUUGCAGAAUCUUGCCUCCUGGAAUCCUUCAAAUCCUGAAUGUCUCUUACUUGUGGUGAAGGAACUUGUGCAACAAUAUCACCAAUUCCAAUGUAGCUGACUCUGGGAGAGCUCCCGCCUCAUGUUUGAAUACCAGACAUUACUGGAAGAGCCACAGUAUGGAGAGAACAUGGAAAUUUAUGCUGGGAAAAAAAACAACUGGACUGGUGAAUUUUCAGCUCGUUUCCUUUUGAAGUUGCCAGUGGAUUUCAGCAAUAUCCCCACGUACCUUCUCAAGGUUCAUGCAAAAAGAGGAUCCCUCAACGCAAGACCAGCUAUGCUUCCGGUGCUGGCCCCCUACCCGGGAGGAGGCUGGGGUGUGGACCUGACUGCCGAGUUACCCAGAAGGGGAAGGGGCCCGGCUGCCCCCUACCUGGGAGGAGGCUGGGUUGUGGACGUGACUGUGGAGUUACCCAGAAGGGGAAGGGGCCCGGCUGCCCCCAUGCUGGCACCUGACCUGGGAUGA
Nomascus leucogenys (northern white-cheeked gibbon) is the source of this 939-nucleotide RNA transcript. It is a transcript of the gene named BRISC and BRCA1-A complex member 2-like, with no coding region annotated. The record is from RefSeq and is a predicted model, not a curated record. Lineage: Eukaryota; Metazoa; Chordata; Mammalia; Primates; Hylobatidae. The transcript is spliced from 3 exons.